Molecule: long non-coding RNA, 441 nt
Organism: Solanum lycopersicum (tomato)
Lineage: Eukaryota; Viridiplantae; Streptophyta; Magnoliopsida; Solanales; Solanaceae
Source: RefSeq, a predicted model, not a curated record
GGGAAAAUGCUCUCUUUAUGGAUCAGCAGCAGUCUGUCUUAAACUUGGAUAUUUGGAGAAGCAUUUUCCAACAUACUCUCACAGAUAAAUGACUUGGGAUUGUCUGAUCUACCUUUCACUGGGAAAUGAUUUGAAAGGCUUCCCUGAAAGCCUCCAAUGCUUUUGAGGUUUGAUGUCUAGGACUUCUGACACUGGCUUCCCACUGAAUUUAGGAGAGCAAGGUUGUCGUGGCAUCUGCAAGCCACAAAAAUAGAUAAAGAAAUAUUAUCGAAGUAACUUGAAUUAGUAGAACAAUGACAAGAAUUCAAGAUUCAGAGGAACGGGUUGGUCAUGCAAAAAGUAAAAUAAAAUGGAUGCCAUAAAGAGAAGGGUGGUUAAAUGAUCCUAGAGGAGUGGAGUGGUGCCUUAUCGUUCAUCCAGUGACUGGACUACUGGUUGUCG